RNAcentral lists this unclassified non-coding RNA (415 nucleotides) under Hevea brasiliensis (rubber tree). The record is from RNAcentral. Lineage: Eukaryota; Viridiplantae; Streptophyta; Magnoliopsida; Malpighiales; Euphorbiaceae.
UCUUGUUGGGCUUGAAGAGUAACUGAAAAUACAGCAGACAGCAUUUAGCUGAAGUGCAGCAUUGUUAUUAAAUGAUUUUAAACAAUAAAAGUAAUGUACAAACUGAAAGCAGACUCUGAUACAGUAUGCAGGCAAGCUCCUAUAAUGGACAAAAUCAAUUGAUACAUUUCAUACAUAGAAAUCCAAAGCUGUUCAGGACAUCAACUAACAAAUAUCUAAGAAAUUAACAGUGGCCAGUCUGUUCAUAUCUUUGAUGCUACACCAUUAUAACCUUUGUCGAUAUGUAUCCUAAAACAUAUAUACUCAUAUACAUAAUAUACCUAAAGAAUUUCUAGUUUAAAUAGUGGAUAAUUCCUGUCAAAAGAAUAUGACAAAGCAAAAAAAGUAGAACCUCUGAUGACACAUGAGUCCCAAG